UAGUAUGGGGAUCUGCCCGAUAGAGGGGAAUAACUACUGGAAACGGUGGCUAAUACUGCAUAAUGUCUACGGACCAAAGCAGGGGCUCUUCGGACCUUGCACUAUCGGAUGAACCCAUAUGGGAUUAGCUAGUAGGUGGGGUAAAGGCUCACCUAGGCGACGAUCUCUAGCUGGUCUGAGAGGAUGAUCAGCCACACUGGGACUGAGACACGGCCCAG
Molecule: ribosomal RNA, 218 nt
Filed under: uncultured bacterium
Lineage: Bacteria
Description: partial 16S ribosomal RNA
Rfam family: Bacterial small subunit ribosomal RNA
Source: RNAcentral